ACAACAGUUGGAAACGACUGCUAAUACUCUAUACUCCUGCUUAACACAAGUUGAGUAGGGAAAGUUUUUCGGUGUAGGAUGAGACUAUAUAGUAUCAGCUAGUUGGUAAGGUAAUGGCUUACCAAGGCUAUGACGCUUAACUGGUCUGAGAGGAUGAUCAGUCACACUGGAACUGAGACACGGUCCAGACUCCUACGGGAGGCAGCAGUAGGGAAUAUUGCGCAAUGGGGGAAACCCUGACGCAGCAACGCCGCGUGGAGGAUGACACUUUUCGGAGCGUAAACUCCUUUUCUUAGGGAAGAAUUCUGACGGUACCUAAGGAAUAAGCACCGGCUAACUCCGUGCCAGCAGCCGCGGUAAUACGGAGGGUGCAAGCGUUACUCGGAAUCACUGGGCGUAAAGGGCGCGUAGGCGGAUUAUCAAGUCUCUUGUGAAAUCUAAUGGCUUAACCAUUAAACUGCUUGGGAAACUGAUAGUCUAGAGUGAGGGAGAGGCAGAUGGAAUUGGUGGUGUAGGGGUAAAAUCCGUAGAUAUCACCAAGAAUACCCAUUGCGAAGGCGAUCUGCUGGAACUCAACUGACGCUAAGGCGCGAAAGCGUGGGGAGCAAACAGGAUUAGAUACCCUGGUAGUCCACGCCCUAAACGAUGUACACUAGUUGUUGGGGUGCUAGUCAUCUCAGUAAUGCAGCUAACGCAUUAAGUGUACCGCCUGGGGAGUACGGUCGCAAGAUUAAAACUCAAAGGAAUAGACGGGGACCCGCACAAGCGGUGGAGCAUGUGGUUUAAUUCGAAGAUACGCGAAGAACCUUACCUGGGCUUGAUAUCCUAAGAACCUUAUAGAGAUAUGAGGGUGCUAGCUUGCUAGAACUUAGAGACAGGUGCUGCACGGCUGUCGUCAGCUCGUGUCGUGAGAUGUUGGGUUAAGUCCCGCAACGAGCGCAACCCACGUAUUUAGUUGCUAACGGUUCGGCCGAGCACUCUAAAUAGACUGCCUUCGUAAGGAGGAGGAAGGUGUGGACGACGUCAAGUCAUCAUGGCCCUUAUGCCCAGGGCGACACACGUGCUACAAUGGCAUAUACAAUGAGACGCAAUACCGCGAGGUGGAGCAAAUCUAUAAAAUAUGUCCCAGUUCGGAUUGUUCUCUGCAACUCGAGAGCAUGAAGCCGGAAUCGCUAGUAAUCGUAGAUCAGCCAUGCUACGGUGAAUACGUUCCCGGGUCUUGUACUCACCGCCCGUCACACCAUGGGAGUUGAUUUCACUCGAAGCCGGAAUACUAAACUAGUUACCGUCCACAGUGGAAUCAGCGACUGGGGUGAAGUCGUAACAAGGUAACCGUAGGAGAACCUGCGGUUGGAUCACCUCCUUUCUA
Molecule: ribosomal RNA, 1369 nt
Filed under: Campylobacter jejuni
Lineage: Bacteria; Pseudomonadati; Campylobacterota; Epsilonproteobacteria; Campylobacterales; Campylobacteraceae
Description: bacterial SSU rRNA
Rfam family: Bacterial small subunit ribosomal RNA
Source: RNAcentral